GGAGGUGUAGCUCAAUAGUAAGGUACUUGCUAGAAUAUCAAGACCCUGGGUUCAAUCCCAGCACCACCA
RNAcentral lists this transfer RNA (69 nucleotides) under Heterocephalus glaber (naked mole-rat). It matches the Rfam family "tRNA". From Rfam's summary of the family: Transfer RNA (tRNA) molecules are approximately 80 nucleotides in length. Their secondary structure includes four short double-helical elements and three loops (D, anti-codon, and T loops). Further hydrogen bonds mediate the characteristic L-shaped molecular structure. tRNAs have two regions of fundamental functional importance: the anti-codon, which is responsible for specific mRNA codon recognition, and the 3' end, to which the tRNAs corresponding amino acid is attached (by aminoacyl-tRNA synthetases). tRNAs cope with the degeneracy of the genetic code in two manners: having more than one tRNA (with a specific anti-codon) for a particular amino acid; and 'wobble' base-pairing, i.e. permitting non-standard base-pairing at the 3rd anti-codon position. Lineage: Eukaryota; Metazoa; Chordata; Mammalia; Rodentia; Bathyergidae. The record is from Rfam by way of RNAcentral.